This 407-nucleotide ribosomal RNA is filed under the name uncultured Jatrophihabitans sp. Its description in RNAcentral is "bacterial SSU rRNA". It matches the Rfam family "Bacterial small subunit ribosomal RNA", at positions 355 to 774 of the family's 1533-position model. The record is from RNAcentral. Lineage: Bacteria; Bacillati; Actinomycetota; Actinomycetes; Jatrophihabitantales; Jatrophihabitantaceae.
UGGGGAAUAUUGCACAAUGGGCGAAAGCCUGAUGCAGCGACGCCGCGUGAGGGAUGACUGCCUUCGGGUUGUAAACCUCUUUCAGCAGGGACGAAGCGAAAGUGACGGUACCUGCAGAAGAAGCACCGGCCAACUACGUGCCAGCAGCCGCGGUAAUACGUAGGGUGCAAGCGUUGUCCGGAAUUAUUGGGCGUAAAGAGCUCGUAGGCGGCUAGUCGCGUCGGCUGUGAAAACCUGGGGCUCAACCCCGGGCCUGCAGCCGAUACGGGCUAGCUAGAAUUCGGUAGGGGAGACUGGAAUUCCUGGUGUAGCGGUGAAAUGCGCAGAUAUCAGGAGGAACACCGGUGGCGAAGGCGGGUCUCUGGGCCGAUAUUGACGCUGAGGAGCGAAAGCGUGGGGAGCGAACA